UGGAGUCGGGGGUGGGGACCAGGCUUUUCAUCUCAGACAAACAUUACUCAUCUCACCGCCGUUUUAUCCCGUCGUGUGUUGUAUUGUAGAGAAUUUGGAAAUCAUACAAAGCCAUACUCACCAAUUCACUCUUUGUAAGCCAUAAUUGUCCACCCAUGAGCUUAAGCUUUGCUCUUGAACCCGGCUUCCUCCAUCAAGUCCGUGGAUUUCCGGUUCCCUUCACCUUCAAACUAAAGAGCAGGAGUAGAAGAUCAAGCUUCCCAAUUUUUGCCCAUUUCCCCAAUCCCAAGUGCAAUCAAGAAUUGUUGGUGGUGGUGGGUGGCGGAGCUGCCGGAAUAUAUGGUGCUAUUUGGGCUAAAACUGUUGCACCCAACCUCAAUGUUGUUGUCAUUGAAAAGGCACACCCAUUGUCUAAGGUAAAAGUUUCCGGAGGAGGUAGAUGCAAUGUGACUAAUGGGCAUUGUCCUGAAAAUAAGGUUAUGGCUGAACAUUACCCCAGGGGAAACAAAGAAUUAAAGGGUUCCUUCUUUAGCAUGCACAGUCCACUUGAUACUAUGUCCUGGUUUACUGAUCGUGGGGUCAAACUCAAGACUGAAAGUGAUGGUCGGGUAUUUCCUGUCAGUAAUAGCUCAUCGUCAAUCAUUGAUUGCCUUAUGACCGAAGCAAGGAAAAAAGGAGUUUCCAUUCAGACAGGAAAAACAGUGACUACUGCGUCUAGCAGUGCUGCUAGGAAGUUUUCUCUCAAGAUUGAUAUGCGUACAUCUUCCACUGACCUUGUUGAAGCUGAUUAUCUAUUAAUUGCUACUGGAAGCAGCAAGCAGGGUUAUAGUCUUGCAGGUCAGCUUGGCCAUUCGAUUAUAGAUCCAGUCCCUAGUCUCUUUACCUUCAAGGUCAGAGACAAUAACUUGGCUGAACUGUCGGGGGUUACUUUCUCCAAGGUGAAAGCUAAACUGAAACUGGAAAACAGUGGAAGAACUGUACCGCAGCUUACACAGAUUGGACCAAUGCUAGUUACGCACUGGGGACUUAGUGGCCCCGUAAUUCUUCGGCUGUCUGCUUGGUCAGCUCGUGAACUAUACAGCUCAAGCUACAAAGGGAUCCUUACUUUGGACUUUGCACCUGAUCUUCAUAAAGGAGAAGUGAACGCAAUCCUCUUAAAACAAAAGAAGAAGUUUGCAAAGCAAAAGGUGGUCAACUCAAGCCCUCCAGAGUUCAAUCUUGUCAAGAGGUUUUGGAAAUAUAUGCUUAAACGCGAGGGUUUAGCUGAAGAUAUCUCAUGGGCUUCCAUUUCUAGUGAAGCAUUGCUUUCUGUUGCCUCACUGCUAAAACAGUGCUCAUUUGAAGUGGCAGGAAAGGGUCAAUUUAAAGAUGAAUUUGUCACUGCUGGAGGUGUUCCCUUGUCUGAGAUUUCGUUGAAGACUAUGGAGAGCAAAAUACUGCCAAACUUAUUUUUUGCAGGAGAGAUAUUGAACAUUGAUGGAGUAACCGGCGGAUUCAAUUUUCAGGUAGCAUGGUGGUAGUAUCGGUAAUGCAUAGUAGCAGUGGGCUAUGUUAGUGAGGGCCGGGUGGCCCUUACCUUGUCCGUAAGAAGGAGCUGUGGUGAAUACUCUCUUUUUCUCAUUGGAAGGGGGAUGAAAGACUUUGUUGAUGUCAGACACACAAUUCGUUUGACAAAGAAUGCGUGGACGGGGGGUUAUAUUGCUGGCACAAGCAUCGGCGACUUAGCAGCAGUCCGCACACCUUAACAUGGAGUGAUUACCAUGAAAUUGUCCAACCUAUGCUUUUGGUACGAAGCUUGGACGUAUGCUCUUUGAUACUGGUUGUUUUAUUCAGCUGGUGCUAUGACUGCGUUUAUACUUUUAGUGUUCUGCUUUGUCAAUCUAUUAUCUAUUGGGCACAAAGUUUAGGAAUUAGAGAGGGAAAAGAGAGGGGGUGGAUUCUUUUGUAUCAUGUAGUAAGUAUCACAAAAGUUUCUUACUCGUGUAAUAUUUGCUUCCUAUUAGAACAGAUGAUAAUUACAUGAAUACCAUUAUUAAAAUUCUUGUCUUGCCCGUUUUUUUCA
Molecule: RNA transcript, 2062 nt
Organism: Spinacia oleracea (spinach)
Lineage: Eukaryota; Viridiplantae; Streptophyta; Magnoliopsida; Caryophyllales; Amaranthaceae
Exons: 17
Source: RefSeq, a predicted model, not a curated record